UACAAAGCGGUGUUAGGGCACGGAGAAUUUUGAUUUCUUAGGAGAGGUUCGUUAGCCUCCUGG
RNAcentral lists this transfer RNA (63 nucleotides) under Anguloclavus sp. 1 MNHN IM 2013-19732. Its description in RNAcentral is "tRNA-Gln". RNAcentral also lists the same sequence under 1 other name. The record is from RNAcentral. Lineage: Eukaryota; Metazoa; Mollusca; Gastropoda; Neogastropoda; Drilliidae.